RNAcentral lists this long non-coding RNA (284 nucleotides) under Homo sapiens (human). The record is from RNAcentral. Lineage: Eukaryota; Metazoa; Chordata; Mammalia; Primates; Hominidae.
CUUCUCCCUCAUUUUCUCUUGCCACCACCAUGUAAGAAGAGCCUUUCACCUCCCGCCAUGAUUCUGAGGCCUCCCCAGCCAUGUGGAAUUUGAUACUGGGCAAAGCAUCCAGAGCUUCAGAGCUGUUUGCCUUCCAAGAGAGCGCUGGCCCUCCUCCUCCACAAAGUUCCUGUGGUUUGUGCUUGGAAGACUCCUCCUCUGAUAGACCCGUGACAGCCCACAGCAGGAUAAAAGCACCUCCAUUUUUCAUUGAAAACUUGGAAAGAAUCAUUUUUAGAAGCUGC